RNAcentral lists this ribosomal RNA (497 nucleotides) under uncultured bacterium. Its description in RNAcentral is "partial 16S ribosomal RNA". It matches the Rfam family "Bacterial small subunit ribosomal RNA", at positions 28 to 507 of the family's 1533-position model. The record is from RNAcentral.
GACGAACGCUGGCGGCGUGCCUAAUACAUGCAAGUUGAGCGCUGAAGGUUGGUACUUGUACCAACUGGAUGAGCAGCGAACGGGUGAGUAACGCGUGGGGAAUCUGCCUUUGAGCGGGGGACAACAUUUGGAAACGAAUGCUAAUACCGCAUAAAAACUUUAAACACAAGUUUUAAGUUUGAAAGAUGCAAUUGCAUCACUCAAAGAUGAUCCCGCGUUGUAUUAGCUAGUUGGUGAGGUAAAGGCUCACCAAGGCGAUGAUACAUAGCCGACCUGAGAGGGUGAUCGGCCACAUUGGGACUGAGACACGGCCCAAACUCCUACGGGAGGCAGCAGUAGGGAAUCUUAGGCAAUGGACGAAAGUCUGACCGAGCAACGCCGCGUGAGUGAAGAAGGUUUUCGGAUCGUAAAACUCUGUUGAUAGAGAAGAACGUUGGUGAGAGUGGAAAGCUCAUCAAGUGACGGUAACUACCCAGAAAGGGACGGCUAACUACGUG